This 253-nucleotide ribosomal RNA is filed under the name uncultured bacterium. Its description in RNAcentral is "partial 16S ribosomal RNA". It matches the Rfam family "Bacterial small subunit ribosomal RNA", at positions 524 to 776 of the family's 1533-position model. The record is from RNAcentral.
UACGUAGGGGGCGAGCGUUGUCCGGAAUCAUUGGGCGUAAAGCGCGUGUAGGCGGCUUUGCAAGUCGGGUGUGAAAGCCCUCAGCUCAACUGAGGAAGUGCGCCCGAAACUGCAGAGCUUGAGUGCCGGAGAGGGUGGCGGAAUUCCCCAAGUAGAGGUGAAAUUCGUAGAUAUGGGGAGGAACACCGGUGGCGAAGGCGGCCACCUGGACGGUAACUGACGCUGAGACGCGAAAGCGUGGGGAGCAAACAGG